This 101-nucleotide Y RNA is filed under the name Saimiri boliviensis boliviensis (Bolivian squirrel monkey). RNAcentral describes it as "Y RNA (ENSSBOG00000005482.1)". It matches the Rfam family "Y RNA". From Rfam's summary of the family: Y RNAs are components of the Ro ribonucleoprotein particle (Ro RNP), in association with Ro60 and La proteins. Lineage: Eukaryota; Metazoa; Chordata; Mammalia; Primates; Cebidae. The record is from Rfam by way of RNAcentral.
GGCUGGUCCGAGUGCAGUGGUGUUUACAACUAACUGAUCACAACUAGUUAUACAUUUCUUUGUUCAUUCUCCACUUCCACUGUUCACUUGACCAGCCUUAA